UGGGUAGUCCGCACGAGCGCACCUUAUCUUUAGUUGCCAUCAGGUUAUGCUGGGCACUCUAAAGAAACUGCCGGUGAUAAGCCGGAGGAAGGCGGGGAUGACGUCAAGUCCUCAUGGCCCUUAUGACCUGGGCUACACACGUGCUACAAUGGCAGUGACAAUGAGCAGCGAUAGCGCGAGCUUCAGCUAACCUCAAAAAUCUGUCUCAGUUCGGAUUGAACUCUGCAACUCGAGUUCAUGAAGUUGGAAUCGCUAGUAAUCGUAGAUCAGCAUGCUACGGUGAAUACGUUCCCGGGCCUUGUACACACCGCCCGUCACACCAUGGAAGUUGGUUUUACCCAAAGACGACGCGCUAACCGCAAGGAGGCAGUCGGCCACGGUAAGGUCAGCGACUGGGGUGAAGUCGUAACAAGGUAGCCGUACCGGAAGGUGUGGCUGGAUCACCUCCUUUCU
This 453-nucleotide ribosomal RNA is filed under the name uncultured Alphaproteobacteria bacterium. RNAcentral describes it as "bacterial SSU rRNA". It matches the Rfam family "Bacterial small subunit ribosomal RNA", at positions 1077 to 1533 of the family's 1533-position model. The record is from RNAcentral. Lineage: Bacteria; Pseudomonadati; Pseudomonadota; Alphaproteobacteria.